AUACCGGGCCUUUUUGGGCUUGGUAAUUGGAAUGAGGGAGAGUUAAACGGACCAUCGAGUAUCCAUUGGAGGGCAAGUCUGGUGCCAGCAGCUGCGGUAAUACCAGCUCCAAUAGCGUAUAUUAAAGUCGUUGCAGUUAAAAAGCUCGUAGUUGGACUUAUGUGCGCUGUCCGCGGGUGGCCUGCGCCCAAAAGGGCGUUUCGGUUCGGCCCCGGUGGCGCCUUGAAAUCUGCAGCUGGGGGGACGUUGGCCUUAACUGGUCGGCGACCGCACGCCGGCUGCUCGGUUACUGUGAGAAAAUUAGAGUGUUCAAGGCAGGCAUUGGGUGCAAUUGAAUACAUUAGCAUGGAAUAAUAAAAUAUGGCUCCUGCCGUAUUUUGUUGGUUUUGACUGGUGGGAGUAAUGAUUGAUAGGGACGGUUGGGGGUGCUAGUAUUGAGCGGCCAGAGGUGAAAUUCAUGGAUUCGCUCAAGACUAACUUAUGCGAAAGCAUUCACCAAGGACGUCCUCUUUAAUCAAGAACGAAAGUUGGGGGAUCGAAGACGACCAGAUACCGUCGUAGUCUCAACCAUAAACUAUGUCGACUUGGGAUCGGCGGUAGUUUUUUCAUUAAGACACUGUCGGGACCACGGGAGAAAUCAAAGUGUCUGGACUCUGGGGGAAGUAUGGUCGCAAGGCUGAAACUUGAAGGAAUUGACGGAAGGGCACCACCAGGAGUGGAGCCUGCGGCUUAAUUUGACCCAACACGGGGAAACUUACCAGGUCCAGAGAUGUAGAGGAUUGACAGAUUGAAGCUCUUUCUUGAUCACUUCGGUGGUGGUGCAUGGCCGUUCUUAGUUGGUGGAGUGAUUUGUCUGAUUAAUUCCGUUAACGAACGAGACCUCAGCCUGCUAGUGUAGUCGGCUGGAUUGCCUUUGGCGAUCCGUGAUUUCGACUUCUUAGAGGGACAAUCGACGCGCAGUCGAUGGAAGUUUGAGGCAAUAACAGGUCUGUGAUGCCCUUAGAUGUUCUGGGCCGCACGCGCGCUACACUGCUGGGCUCAGCGAGUUUUACUUGGCCGAGAGGCCCGGUUAAUCUUGUGAAAUCCCAGCGUGCUUGGGCUCGCCUCCUGCAACUGGAGGCGCCAACGAGGAAUUCCUAGUAGACGCAGGUCAUCAACCUGCAUCGAUUACGUCCCUGCCCUUUGUACACACCGCCCGUCGUUCCAUAAGAGUGAGGCAUCCGGUGAAUUCUCGGGAGAGCCUGGGCGUGGCCAGCAAUGGUCUGCUCGGGUUUGAACUUGCAUAAACUUGGUGCCUAUGAUUAGUC
This 1307-nucleotide ribosomal RNA is filed under the name metagenome. RNAcentral describes it as "SSU rRNA". It matches the Rfam family "Eukaryotic small subunit ribosomal RNA", at positions 483 to 1784 of the family's 1831-position model. The record is from RNAcentral.